CUAGUGUCUGCGUGGCCGAGUAUAUCUGGGAUCUGUCAUGUCAUUGCAGAAGGAAGAUCAGUGAUCAUGUCUCGAACAUGAAGUCGGUUAUGUGUAGUGCUGGCUCUCCAAUCGCUCCAUAAUCUUAAUGCAGGUCAUGUCUAAAUUUUUACUUUCUAGCCAUUUGAUUAUAAUUGGUGCAGCUUUAUGUGAUACUCCUCUAUGCUUCGGUUUUAUAAUUUGGAACAAUUGUAGUUUUGGGGUGACUAAAAAUAUGGAGCCGGUAGGCUGAUUUCUAUAUUAUCCUUAAGGAUGACUGUUGUUUGGCUGUCAAAAACCGUUCGUUGAACAGUUUGUGUUAGGUUUAUUAUGUAGCUCUUGUUAGAUUCGUUUAAUAAGCACAAAUUAGUUA
Long non-coding RNA from Phalaenopsis equestris, 391 nucleotides. RefSeq lists it as uncharacterized. The record is from RefSeq and is a predicted model, not a curated record. Lineage: Eukaryota; Viridiplantae; Streptophyta; Magnoliopsida; Asparagales; Orchidaceae. The transcript has 2 exons.